This 439-nucleotide long non-coding RNA is filed under the name Pan troglodytes (chimpanzee). RNAcentral's name for it is "long non-coding RNA NONPTRT012807". Lineage: Eukaryota; Metazoa; Chordata; Mammalia; Primates; Hominidae. The record is from RNAcentral.
GGGCUUGGUCUGCAGUAGGAGACAAUUAUUCUGCAAUCUUCCUGGUCCUGCCAUUAAUUUAUUUAAGGUCCUGGAAGAAUACUUAAAUUGGUCUCAAGUUCCAUCAGCAAGAUGGGACGACUCCAUUGCAAAGAAACAUAAUAUAUGGAAAAAUUACUAGAAAAUCUAGGAAAACUGACUGAAUGCUUUGGAAAGACACAGUCAAGAUUAACAUGCUGAGACUCGGGAGGUGGUGAUUUGCCUAGGGACACAGAAAAAUUAAAAAAAAUGUGUCACAAGAAAGUUUACAGAACCUACUCAAACUCAAAGAGAAAUCAGAGACUAAAUUCUCAAAACUGGAAGCUGCCUGCAGCAUCCACACUCUUCAGCCCUGUACUAUGUGAUGUGUAUUACGAAUGGAGCCACCAGCAGUAUUUGUAUGAACAUGAGACAAUGUGUG